RNAcentral lists this ribosomal RNA (476 nucleotides) under uncultured anaerobic ammonium-oxidizing bacterium. RNAcentral describes it as "bacterial SSU rRNA". It matches the Rfam family "Bacterial small subunit ribosomal RNA", at positions 365 to 832 of the family's 1533-position model. The record is from RNAcentral.
UUCGCAAUGCCCGAAAGGGUGACGAUGCGACGCCGCGUGAGCGAAGAAGGCCCUAGGGUUGUAAAGCUCUGUCGAGGGUUAUGAAAUAUAGAUGGGUUAAUACCCCAUUUAUUUGACAAAAGCCCAAAAGGAAGCCACGGCUAACUCUGUGCCAGCAGCCGCGGUAAUACAGAGGUGGCGAGCGUUGUUCGGUAUUAUUGGGCGUAAAGAGCACGUAGGUGGGUUUGCAAGUCAGAUGUGAAAGCCUCCUGUUCAACGGGAGAAUUGCAUCUGAAACUGCAGAUCUUGAGUGUAGGAGGGGAGAGUGGAACUUCUGGUGGAGCGGUGAAAUGCGUAGAUAUCAGAAGGAACGUCGGCGGCGAAAGCGACUCUCUGGCCUAUUACUGACACUGAGGUGCGAAAGUUAGGGGAGCAAACGGGAUUAGAUACCCCGGUAGUCCUAACCGUAAACGAUGGGCACUAAGUAGAGGGGUUUU